This is a long non-coding RNA of Cyprinus carpio carpio, 598 nucleotides long. NCBI's taxonomy places the organism in Eukaryota, Metazoa, Chordata, Actinopteri, Cypriniformes, Cyprinidae. The record is from Ensembl.
CUUAAAAUACGUUAUGUAGGACAUAAACUAAACAAUAACAUAUCUUUCUUAGUAUAUACAAUCCGAAAAGAAAAACAAACAAUCAGAUAAUGACUAAAACCUCAGGAUAUGAGCGUGGAAGGGUGUUGGGUGGUUGUUGUGGUGCGCUGUCGCUGAGGUGAUACCUGGGAAACAGGCAGCUGGUGUCUUUCUUGUAUCCUGGGCCGUACACAAACAACGCUCGUUGCCGUGGGCGUGUACCGGCACUCGAUGAUUGACGCACUUCCACUCCACCCUCCUUCCGCCGUCUCUGAAAGCUGUUAGGCGAAUCCCACAGGUCUCCAUUCAUUACAAGACUGCAGUGCUGCACCAUAAGAAGUGUAUUUCUCUUGGGUUUCACUCCAGCCACAGAACGGGGAAUCUGAAAAGCCACAGACACGGUCAUGGUCCACAGAAACUUUAACAGGUAGAAAUAUCAGUACCCAUGAGACCGCAAACGCAACAAUGGCACCACAUGAGAAGCCGCAGUGCCCACUGGACCACCCCGAAAUCCUGUCCAGAAGCUAUAGGAUGUCGUGAAAGAUGGCUUCCUCUUAUGUUCUGAGAUAUCUUAUUCUCA